UCGUGGAUUAAUCUGUCUGGUUAAUUCCGAUAACGAACGAGACCUCAACCGCUCAUUAGGUGGACAGCUUUGCGAAGCUGUUCUAGCGCUUCGGCGCGUUACUUCUUAGCGGGACUAUCCGCGCUUAAGCGGAGGGAAGUUUGAGGCAAUAACA
This 154-nucleotide ribosomal RNA is filed under the name uncultured eukaryote. RNAcentral's name for it is "partial 18S ribosomal RNA". It matches the Rfam family "Eukaryotic small subunit ribosomal RNA", at positions 1299 to 1458 of the family's 1831-position model. The record is from RNAcentral.